GACGAACGCUGGCGGCGUGCCUAACACAUGCAAGUCGAGCGAGAUCCAUCCAGUGGCAACACUGGUGAAGAUCUAGCGGCGAACGGGUGAGUAACACGUGAGAAACCUGCCCCGGAGACCGGGAUAACCCGAGGAAACUCGGGCUAAUACCGGAUACCCCCACCGAACCGCAUGAUUUGGUGAGGGGAUGCUCCGACGCUCCGGGAGGGUCUCGGGGCCUAUCAGCUCGUUGGUGAGGUAACGGCUCACCAAGGCUAAGACGGGUAGCUGGUCUGAGAGGACGAUCAGCCACUCUGGGACUGGGACACGGCCCGGACUCCUACGGGGGGCAGCAGUGGGUAAUCUUGCGCAAUGGGCGAAAGCCUGACGCAGCAACGCCGCGUGGGGGAUGAAGGCUCUCGGGUUGUAAACCCCUUUCAGGAGGGACGAAAAUGACGGUACCUCCAGAAGAAGCCCCGGCCAACUGCGUGCCAGCAGCCGCCGUAA
RNAcentral lists this ribosomal RNA (486 nucleotides) under uncultured bacterium. RNAcentral's name for it is "partial 16S ribosomal RNA". It matches the Rfam family "Bacterial small subunit ribosomal RNA", at positions 28 to 523 of the family's 1533-position model. The record is from RNAcentral.